Anas platyrhynchos (mallard) is the source of this 1608-nucleotide long non-coding RNA. RefSeq lists it as uncharacterized. NCBI's taxonomy places the organism in Eukaryota, Metazoa, Chordata, Aves, Anseriformes, Anatidae. The record is from RefSeq and is a predicted model, not a curated record.
CAUUUUGACAACUCAGGUGUGUAGUAGUUAGACUAUAUGUUCUAUUCUGAAAGUGACCUUGAAUCUUCAGUGUAUAGCAAGAAUCAGCCUCAAAUACCUUUAGAAGCUGAUAGUACUAAAGGACACAGCUAGGACAGGUUACACAGGCUGACCCAGGGAUGUCCCACGCCACAUGAGGCUCUGUUCAGCAAUAAAAGGGGGAGGAAAGAAGGAGGAACUGGAGGGUCAUUUGGUAUGAUUGAGUUUGUCUUCCCAAGUAACCACUACUGAACCCUGCUUUCCUGGAAACCUUUGAGCAUCUGCUUGCUGAUGGGAAGUGAAAUAAUUCCUUUACUUCGUUUUGCUUGCACACACAGCUUUCACUUUACUUAGUAAACUGUUUUUAUCUCAGUCCACAAGUUAAUAAACUUCUACCUUUCCAAUUCUUCAUCCCACUAAGGGGAAGUAAUCAAGUACCUGUGUGGGGGCUCCAUCGCCUACCAGGAUUAAACCACUGCAUGAGGUCAAGUCAUUAAUCAAUAAUUUAAAUUGGAGAAAAAAUAGACAAAACUACUGACUAAUGAACUCUCCCUCUUUGUAUUAUCUUUGCUGUCAUUUAAAUAUGUAUGUAUCUGUAAAUCUAGAUGAAAACUUUGAUGAAGAUCUUUUCAGAUCUACUGGCUCCUGAUAAAUGAUUAUGUACUCUUUCCUGAUUAGUGUCUUUUAUCUUCAAAUAAAUCUUAAACCCUAAUGCACACACAGGUCUACUCAUUCCUGAUCUAAUCCUAAUUAAUAAGUUAUUAACCUUAACUUUUGUCACACUUCUGUUUCCCAAAACCACAUUAUUCUUGUUAGUGGCAGGAUUGUCCAGUUAUUGUGCUUUAAAUCAAAAUUACUUUAAAACUUUUGGACAUAUUUAGAAAAAUUAUUUUCUGGAUUCACUAAAUUUUUGAAGUAUUUUGCUCUAAAUAGUGGGCUUUUUUGUAAAGAAGGGCAAACUUGUAUCUCUUCACACUAAACUAACUAGGAUAUGUUAAGAAAAAUAGCAUGGAUCUGCCAUUCCUUUGUAUGAUGUAAGCUCUUAUCCAUUCAUUUCUUAUUGCUAACUAAUCUUUUAUUGUAUUUUUUGAAAGAAGCAUAUGUGUAAAUCAUUCACCAGAGAUUAUCAUACAAAUAACUUGAGAUCCUUGCCAUCUUUGAAUCAAAUCAUGGUUUGGUAGCAUCAGACAUGUGGGUAACAUUGGGCUCUGUAUGUGUUCCCAAGUACUAUAGUCAUUCUGUUUAUGAAGAAUCAUGUACUAAUAAAUGUGUUUUUAAUACAAAAUUCUCAAAACUGCCCUUUGAUACUCGAUAUAUUAGCAGAGGAAGAACAGGACUAUAAUCAGCAUAUUUUAUUCACUGUUUUUGUUGUUGUUAUUUCUGGCAGGCUUUCAGUAAUGAGAAAAAUAUUAUAGAUUGAAGAUACAUACAGGCAUUUGCCAUUCACUUUAUUGUAAUUAUUACAUUAUUAUUAGGCAAUGCCUUUAUCACUGUAUGGAAAUCAUGCUGAAUACUAACACAACCCUUGGUUAUUGCAUGCUACACUGAAUAUCUCCUUCAUCUGUCUAUAAUUACUAUAUAUAUUUGGAC